CGGCGUUGGUCAGCGGGUGGGCUCUGCCCGAGCGGAGCCCGGAACCCCGUGCCCGGCCGCCGCCGCCAUCUUCCGUUUCCCUAGCUACCCCCGCGAGGUAAGGGUCGCCCGGGGCAGGCGCCCUCCAGGCAGGGGUCCACCCGGCUCCUCCGCUCGGUUCCCGCCGGAGCGGCGGCCACGGUGGGACGCAGAGGUAACGGACCCCCGCCCGCCUCGGACCCCUGCGCACCCAGCCUCGGAUAGGACCAGCGCGGGUAGAGAGGAUGGGGUGACAGGGUUUGGAGCAACAUCUCUUCCACUCCCUUACGGUCUGGGUCCCUAGGAUGGACAGGAGGGUGGGGGAGGCAGGAAACCUCUGCAGCCCACCCCGUAGUGGCGAUGCCCGCACACCCCCUCUCACUUCUGGACAGCAGGGGCAACGCCGAUCCCUGGGGAAGAAUGGGAACCUGGAGCUUCCUCCCAGCACCCUUGGGUGCACCCGCCACCUCCUGAACCCCGAAUCUCUCCAGAGACACUUGGGCCUCGCCGCGCGGUUCCAGCUGAAUAAAAGUCCCCUCUGCCACCAAGACAGUCGGGGGCUGCCCCUCGUCGGUUUCCCCACCCCCAGCCCCACUCCGAGGACCGUACCUCUCCCGCCUCCGCCAGGGCCGUCGGGUCCCCUCAGCUCUCCUGACGGCGGCGUUCAGUUUCUGGCCCACCCCCACCCCCAUCCGGCGCACACGGAAGAGAAGAGCAUUUUCCGGGAGGUUCAGCUCCGCUCUGAGAACUUUUCGUUCAGAAAGAGCGAUCCCCUUCGGCUAACAGGAAACUGGGAAGGGCGUGGAGAAAGCGCAGAAACAAGAGACUACACGCAGCCCAAGACGACAGAACGCACAAGAAGUGUCUAAGCUGAAGCGCUAACCGAGAUUGCCUGGAAGAAAACAAUACACUCGAGCCAUGCGAACACCAGUACCCGAGACAAAAAGCCUUGGAAGUCCUGGCAGAGCCACUCCCUAGCCCGGACUAGAGCAGGAGGAAGUGGGAUCAACAGGCUGUAGCCACCGCGCACAACUCCCCUGCAAGCUGGCUGCGCGGGCACUUGGGAACCGCGGACUGGCAGCGGGUUGUGCACGCUCAACGUCAAAGAAGCCUCACAGGUGUGAGGGGGCUGCGGUGAGGGGGCUGCGAGAGAAGACAUUAAAACGACAGAUCCCUCUUGUCAUCCAAAGAGAACACCAAACUGGUGUUAGCUAUAUUUUUAAAUAGGACAAAAAGUCCCUGCCAGACUGUGGAGUCUCUCCACCUGGAGAAAGCAUUCAAUCUCUGUUAUGUUCAUGCCUUUCAGUACCAUUCCUUUCGUAUUUUUUCAGUUGACAUGACCUUUAAGGUUCCUCCAAACUAAGGUUCUAAUUUUUUUUUUUAACUUGCAGUCUUACUCCCAACAAGAAAUUUGAUAUAUUAGAGCUAACAGUUCUAAGAAGUUUUAAGAAAUAGUAUGCAAUCCCAAUACUGGACAUCACACUGUAAAUUAAAUUCAUUAAAAUGUAAAAUGUGUUUAGUUCAAAUAUUUAAAGACAGGAGACUGCUGCUAUGUAAUAAUAACAGAGAGGCUAUUUCUGCAGCUUCUGUUGUCUCCUUUAGGAAAGGAAGGAGUUGGGCAAAAUGAAUUUUAAGAACGCUUAGAACUCUACAAAUAUGUAAUUCUUUAUCUACAAAGAACAUAUUUCUGGAAAUUCUUAAAAGAGAAAAAUAAUCAAAAUAAUGGCCUUCAUUCCCACCUGUUUGGUCAUGGACAAGUCCAAUAUUUUGGAAAUGUAGACAAGGACACCUAGUAAAGGGUCUUUUGAAAGAAUAAACUUAGUUUAGUCUUCUCCUUUAAUGUAAAGAAACUAAGGCCCCAACUGACAAACUGAGACCAAAGUCAAAAUCAUGCGGUUAGUAUUCUAAUGUUCUAUUCACUUUAUCACACUGUAUAACAAAAGUCUGUCAGUUACCAUAUACUUCUAUUCAUACAUUAUGUGUUUUAUAUAGCAACAUUUUCCAGAAUCCAGGCAGCGAGUGAUUAAACUGAAAGGCAUUAUCUAAUGCCCAGCCUGAUUUUGUGAUUUUAACAGGUCAGAUUACGCAUCUCACUCUUUGAUUUGAACACUGAUUGCUUAAAGAUACUUAAAAAGUUUCAUAUCCCAGAGCUGAGCCAUUUAAUACCUCAAAGUAAAGGUAUUCCUUUCUCAUAAAGAUUUAACCUCAGAGCCAGCUUUGCACUUCUGCAAUCACCUCUUCUGAAGAGCCAGUUUCAACGAAUCCAUUAUUUAAGAUACCUGACUUACUAGCCUCUUCUCGGUCUUAUCUGUAAAUUAGAAGUUUUUAGAAUGAAUAUCUAAUUUGUGCACUGUGUACCUGCAAUGUACUUCACCUUCCUCAAGAGUAUUACAAGGUCAAGGUCUCAAUCUUUCCAACCAUUUCAACCAUGUAGCUCAAAAUAGCAACUGAAACAAUUUCAAAUAUGUGGUAUCUUACAUUAUUUAUUUGAUUUAUAAGAAUUCCUUGAUCUUUUCCUUACUUAGUGAUUUCAGAUUUUUCAGUAAUUGCUUAGAUGCAUCUUACAUUUUUAUUGUUACUUUGAAAUCUCUGUUCAGAACAUGUGACAAACACACUAUUAAAGACUUCAACAUAAGCUGUGUAGACACUGCAUUUAGGGUGAAAUGGAAAUAGGUGGUAGCUACCCCUAAAUUAGGUUUUUACUUAAUAGAGAUCCUGGCCCAUUAAAACAAAGAACACCUAUUAGACUGAAGAUGUGUAAGUCACAGCCAAAUUUCAUGUCAACUUUAUGAAUAUUCGUGUAUUAUUUUCUACAGAGGUAUUUUGAAUUGUAUUUUUACUGAUCACUACUCAUAACAAAAGGGGUUUUAUACCCAUUGGCAACUUUCAAAUCUCACAUAUUCUAUGGCUUUAUCUUAAAUAUUACGCCAUAAAUACGCAGAAUGUUACAUUUUAUAUCCUGAAGAGUUCAAAGUGUUCUAGGACUUGUGUUCCUAAUCAAUAAGGAACCAUGCAAAGAAUACUGCAGGUUGACCAAGUACAGGCAUUGAGAAGCUGCCUUAAUUAAAACUUAAGAACACGCUAUUUGCUACAUAUUAAGAAUUUAACAUUCGAAACUUUUAACCUAUUACCAUUUCCUUAGUUGUUACCUGAAUGAAAAAGAUUUGGGGAUUAACUGUGAUAUUAACUGCAUAUACAUAUGGUCAUCCUCGUAUCUGAGGCAAAAACCUUUCAUCAUCUAGACCUAAUGCAAAGAUGUUUAUAACCUCUCAUUUACAUUUUGGCCCUAUCCUUUGAAACUCUUUCCUUCCUAAUUUUCCUUUCGACCUGGAUAGUUUUAUCAGCGCUAACUAGUAUAAAACCAUUUCAAAAUAAAGCAAAUUUUUUUUCUUUUUUUAGAGACAAAGUCUUGCUCUUUUGCCCAGGCUGGAGUGCAAUGGCCAAUCACAGCUCACUGCGUCCUUAAACUCUGGGCUCAAAGGCUCCUCUGGCAUCAGCCUCCCAGGGUAGUCACAGGAUACCUGGGACUACAGACAUGCAUCACCAGUCCUAGCUAGUUUUGUUGUGGUUGUUGUUAUUUAGACAUCAUCUCCCCCUGGUCAUCUUCCCCAGGAUGGUCUCAAACUCCUGGCCUCAAGAGAUCCUCCCACUUCGGCCUCCCAAAGUGUUGGGAUUACAGGCAUGAGCCACAGCACCAAAAGCAAAUUUUAAUAAGUGUACUCUAGCAUCCCCCAACUAAGGACUACUUUGUAAAUACUUCCACAUUUUUGAAGUGUUGGCUAGAAUUCUAACUACCUAUUUUCCCCCCAGUAAGGCUUGUUUGGCUAAAUAUCUUUCUACCCAUCCAUGCCCACCACUAAAGUAUUUUUUAAUUGAUUAGAAAUUUAGUUUAUGCCUCUAUUUCCACUGAAAUUUGAUUGCAUUUCAAAGCUAGCAUUAAAGAAAAUACACAGAAACUUAGAAUGCUAAAAUUUAUCUUCUUUAGGCCCAAUGACUUCCCCAGAAUGCUAAGGCUGAUCGUUUAUUUAAAUGGUUCGCUUAACUAACUUCAGUUCAUCUCCCAAUCGUGUCGUAAAGUUCAGCAACAGCUCAACAUGGCUGCGUUUUAAGAAAGAAGUGCUGGGGCGGGCGCAGUGGCUCACUCCUGUAAUCCCAAAACUUUGGGAGGCCAAGGCGAACGGAUCACGAGGUCAGGAGAUCGAGACCAUCCUGGCUAACAAGGUGAAACCCCGUGUCUACUAAAAAUACAAAGAAUUAGCCAGGCAUGGUGGCACGCGCCUGUAAUCCCAGCUACUUGGGAGGCUGAGGCAGGAGAAUCCAGGAGGCGGAGGUUGCAGUGAGCCAAGAUGGCGCCACUGCACUCCAGCCUGGGCAACAGAGUGAGUCUGUCUCAAAAAAAAAAGAAGAAGAAAAAGAAAAAAAAGAAAGAAGUGCUGUUCUCUUUACUGUUUGUCAGCAUCAAUUCCUGAUACUGUGUUUACUCUUCUGCCUGAAUAGUUCCACGCAGAAUCACACCAUCAUGUUUUAGGUUCCAUCAAAAAUGAAUGAGGAGAGGCCAGGUGCAGUGGCUCAUGCCAGUAAUCCCAGCACGUUAGGAGGCUGAGGUGGGCAGAUCGCUUGAGCCCAGGAGUUCAAGGCCAGUCUGGGCAACAUAUCUAGAACUAUAGGUGCGCACCACCACGCCCAUCUAUACAAGAAAAUGCCAAAAUUAGCCCGGCAUGGGGGCAAGCACCUAUAGGUCCCAGCUACUCGGGAGGCUGAGGUAGGAGAAUUGCUUGAGCCCAGGAGGCAAAGGUUGCAGUGAGCUGAGAAUCAGGCCCCUGCACUCCAGCCUGGGUGACACAGUGAGACACUGCCUCAAACAAUGAGGAGAGUAAAUGGUUACAUGCAUGCUAUUGUUAUAUGUACAUGCCCUUAUGUUAUCCCAUAAGGGAUAAUGCAACAGGAUCUGUUCAUUAUUGAACAGAAUGAAUAUUAAGCGUAUUCAAUAUUGUUCAGUAUUGAACAUUCCUUUUCAUAAAUGUAAAUGAGCAUACUUUUAUGGUAAAGCAUUAAGUUGCCUAUAUUUGAAUUUAAAAAGCAAAUUUUACAUAACUCUGACCUGUAAUCCUAGCUCUUUGGGAUGCCAUGUCAGGAGGAUCUCUUAAGGCCACAAGUUUGAGACCAGCCUGGGCAGAUCCCACCUCUACAAAAAAAAUCCAAAAUGAGCCCAGCAUGGUGGCAUGUGCCUGUAGUCCUAGCUACUCAGGAGGCUGAGACGGGAGGAUCCCUCCUGGCUGCAGUGAGCUACGAUCAUACCACUGCACUCCAGCCUGGGCAACACAGCAAGCCCCUGUCUCAAAAAAAACAAAACAAAAAAGUUUUUAAAUUAAAAAAAAACUUUGAAAUGGAGUCCAAGUCAAAGCAGGUAUUCCUAACCUGAGGUCUUUGAGGAUCCACAGAUUGGUCUUAAAGAAAUCUGUGGUACUCUUGAAAUUGUAUUAAAAUGUUUUACAUAUAUAUAUACACACACACAUCAAUACAUAUAUAAAGCAUAUGUAUGUAACAUAUAUGUCACAUAAGUGCAUGUUUGAGGGAAAAAGGGUCCAUAGCUUUGAUCAGAUUCUUAAAGGGAUUGCUGACCCCAAAAAAGGUCACAAAUCCCCAAUUUUGAUGGAUUUUGUGUCCCUUCAAAACAUAUUUAAUCUGUCUCUCCACCCCCUUUUCCCCUUGCUCCAAAUGCCUGAAAGGUUUAACAUUUAAACACUACUUUUUUCCCUAAUGUAUCCCACAUUUAUCUUUAUAUGCCACUUUUUAGUAAUUUGGAUAAAUUGUCUUUUUUAAGAAGUUAAAUGAAAAUUCCCUUCAUUAGUUCUUCGAUGGACUUGGUGAUAUCUGUACGACCACAGGGUUUAGAAUAAAGUCGCUUGUAAAAAGUAUUAUUUUAUGCCACAUAGCCAUGAUCUCUGAAUGUAUUUUUUGUGACUUUCUGAUUGUAAACCAUUAACAUAUACGAAACAAGACAUUCUGUUUAGUUAAGAACGUUAGCUUUCUGAGGUCAAGGAUCUGUUUCUCUGUUGUUGGUAACUGCUAUCCAACAGUCCCGGAACAUAAUAGGUGCGGAAUGAAAAUAGGUGCAGAGCAAAUGAAAAGGCCUUCAGUGUUUAAAGAAAAUAAACCUAAUUUUUAAAAGAUGGCUCUGCAGUCUGAAUAAAGUAUUGUAGUCCAUUCACACAUUUAUG
This 6239-nucleotide long non-coding RNA is filed under the name Homo sapiens (human). RNAcentral's name for it is "non-protein coding lnc-VWA8-1:1". Lineage: Eukaryota; Metazoa; Chordata; Mammalia; Primates; Hominidae. The record is from RNAcentral.